Molecule: ribosomal RNA, 379 nt
Filed under: uncultured cyanobacterium
Lineage: Bacteria; Bacillati; Cyanobacteriota
Description: bacterial SSU rRNA
Rfam family: Bacterial small subunit ribosomal RNA
Source: RNAcentral
CGAAAGCCUGACGGAGCAACGCCGCGUGUGGGAAGAAGGCUCUUGGGCUGUCAACCACUUUUCUCAGGGAAGAAGUUCUGACGGUACCUGAGGAAUCAGCCUCGGCUAACUCCGUGCCAGCAGCCGCGGUAAUACGGAGGAGGCAAGCGUUAUUCGGAAUUAUUGGGCGUAAAGCGUCCGCAGGGGGCUCAUCAAGUCUGCUGUCAAAGACCGAGGCUCAACCUCGGGUCGGCAGUGGAAACUGGAUAGCUAGAGGUCGGUAGGGGCAAAGGGAAUUCCCAGUGUAGCGGUGAAAUGCGUAGAUAUUGGGAAGAACACCGGUGGCGAAAGCGCUCUACUGGGUCGCACCUGACCCUCAGGGACGAAAGCUAAGGUAGCG